RNAcentral lists this ribosomal RNA (480 nucleotides) under uncultured Gammaproteobacteria bacterium. RNAcentral's name for it is "bacterial SSU rRNA". It matches the Rfam family "Bacterial small subunit ribosomal RNA", at positions 423 to 896 of the family's 1533-position model. The record is from RNAcentral. Lineage: Bacteria; Pseudomonadati; Pseudomonadota; Gammaproteobacteria.
UUGUAAAGCCCUUUAAGUGGGGAGGAACGGUGGGAUGCGAACAGUGUCCUGCUCUGACNUUACCCACAGAAUAAGCACCGGCUAACUCCGUGCCAGCAGCCGCGGUAAUACGGGGGGUGCAAGCGUUAAUCGGAAUUACUGGGCGUAAAGCGUGCGUAGGCGGUUUGGUCAGUCAGCCGUGAAAGCCCUGGGCUUAACCUGGGAACGGCGGUUGAGACGGCCAGACUCGAGUGGGCUAGAGGAUCGUGGAAUUCCCGGUGUAGCGGUGAAAUGCGUAGAGAUCGGGAGGAACACCGAUGGCGAAGGCAGCGGUCUGGGGCCACACUGACGCUGAGGCACGAAAGCGUGGGGAGCAAACAGGAUUAGAUACCCUGGUAGUCCACGCGGUAAACGAUGAACACUAGACGUUGGGCGGGUGACCGUCCGGUGUCGAAGCUAACGCGAUAAGUGUUCCGCCUGGGGAGUACGGCCGCAAGGUUG